This 460-nucleotide ribosomal RNA is filed under the name uncultured bacterium. RNAcentral describes it as "SSU rRNA". It matches the Rfam family "Bacterial small subunit ribosomal RNA", at positions 26 to 518 of the family's 1533-position model. The record is from RNAcentral.
AGAAUCAACGCUGGCGGCGUGCCUAACACAUGCAAGUCGAACGAGAAAGGGUAGCAAUACCUGAGUAAAGUGGCGCACGGGUGAGUAACACGUGACUAACCUACCUUUUAGUGGGGGAUAACCUAGGGAAACCUGGGCUAAUACCGCAUAAUACCUACGGGUCAAAGCAGCAAUGCGCUGGAAGAGGGGGUCGCGGCCGAUUAGCUAGUUGGCGGGGUAAUGGCCCACCAAGGCAGUGAUCGGUAUCCGGCCUGAGAGGGCGCACGGACACACUGGAACUGAAACACGGUCCAGACUCCUACGGGAGGCAGCAGUGGGGAAUUUUGCGCAAUGGGGGAAACCCUGACGCAGCAACGCCGCGUGGAGGAUGAAGACCCUUGGGUCGUAAACUCCUUUCGAUCGGGACGAUAAUGACGGUACCGGAAGAAGAAGCCCCGGCUAACUUCGUGCCAGCAGCCGC